UUCUUCUCUUCGUCGUGCGACACCCGCCGCGUCCACAUCGCCCGGUCCGGCGUUACUUAUUCGUGGUCUUCCGCCAUGGACGACGACGCCCAAUACCAGUCAAUCCAAGACUACGCCCGCCCAACCGAUCUUCCAUGCAGGGCACAGCCUCCUGGGAUUAAUCACAUUGCGUCUCAAGUGACGGCGGCGAGGACAUUUGGCACGCUCGAUUGCGCUGUUGUGGCGAUCCGACACCCGCGGGUGUAGGUCUUAACUUAGGAUGCCUCCUAUUGCUACAUGGUGCAUUGCCAGUAAUUUCAAAAUAUUGAAAGAGGUUGGAUGCCAAAGACAAGAAAAAAGAUUUGGGACGAGAAGUGGUUGAAUUUGAUGUUUUUGAAUGAAUGCACAAAAGAAAGCAAGGUAGUGAGUUUGUUGACAACAAAUCGGUGUCCGUGAAGAAAAGCUUAUCGAGAAAGGUAGGAAAACCGAAGAAAAUCUCAAGAAGAUGGUUCGUAGGAUAAUUUAAGAGAUUUGUGUACUUAAAAUAUCACAAAUAACGGGGAAGUUAUUAUGGAGUUGAAGGCCGCUGGCGCUUCAUGGAUUCAAUUUGAAGAGCCAACCCUUGUUCUGGAUCUUCAGUCCUAUCAGUUAGAGGCAUUCACAAAGGCUUACUCCGAACUAUAAUCAUCUCUGUCAGGCUUGAGUGUGCUCAUCGAGACUUACUUUACUGAUGUCCCUGCAGAAGCAUAUAAGAUUGUCACUGCUUUGAAUGGUGUCUCGGGUUUUGGUUUUGACCUUGGACUUGAUCAAGACUACAAGCUUCCCUGCUGGCAAAUAUCUUUUUGCAGGAGUUGUUGAUGGAAGGAACAUUUCGGCAAAUGAUCUUGCAUCCUCUCUCAGCAUACUUGAGACUUUUGAGGCCAUUGUUGGCAAAGGUAAUCAUCCCUUGUGUUUUUUCCUGUAUAAUCAUCUUUCUUUUUAAUAUGCAGAUGAUGGUAUUUGAUGUUUGCUUACAUACAAGCUUGUUGUCUCUACAUCUUGCUAACUCAUGCACGCUGACCUUGUCAAUGAGUCACAAUUGGACAGUGAGAUUAAAUCAUAACUUGCAUUUGCUGCUCAAAAAGUGAUCGAAGUAAAUUCAUUACCUAAAGUAUUGGCCGGUUAGAAGGAUGAGGCUCAAAAAGUGAUUGAAGUAAAUGCAUUGCCUAAAGUGUUGACUUGUCAGAAGGAUGAGGCUUUCUUUUCAGCUAAUGCUGCUGCAGUCUUCAAGAAAGUCAUCUCCUAGGGUGACCAAUGAAGAAGCUUAAAAAGCUGUGGGUAGCUUAAGCUAUGGUUGAUUUGUGGUUUGUCAUGCCUUAAGCAUUCAGUGCUGGCGUUGUAAGCUGCUGCUUUGAAGGGUUCUGACCAUCGCCGAGACACAAAUCCCUCAAUACCCUCUUCUGAUCGAGUAUUGGAUCCUCGUUGAAUUUGGAGGAAAUUAUCAUCCGUAAUUAUUACACCUACGUAUUUAUAAGGAUAAUUGAAUCAUGGAUCCUGAGGUCAUUUGUUUUAAUGAAUUUUUGAGCUUGUGCCAACAGAUUGAUGCCCGCAUGUGCUACUCAAACUUAAACGACAUCAUUCACUCCAUCAUUGACAUGGAUGCCGAUGUGAUCAUGAUUGAGAACUCUAAGUCCGACGAGCAACUCCUAUCGGUGUUCCGAGAGGGAGUCAAGUAUGGUGCUGGUAUCAGCCCAAUUUUCUCCUGAUAACGUUGUUCUUGUUCUUGGUUAGAAUUUUCUCCUAAUAACGUUGUUAUUGUCAAUGAGCUUGUCUUAGAAUUCUUUUUACUCUUUUUCUUGUGAUUCCUAGUGGUGCAUUGUGGGCUUUUCCUAGGCUGAGAGAACCCCAAACAUAGUAGCUCAACCUAUGAUGCCGGCUUGAUUCU
Zingiber officinale is the source of this 1903-nucleotide long non-coding RNA. RefSeq lists it as uncharacterized. Lineage: Eukaryota; Viridiplantae; Streptophyta; Magnoliopsida; Zingiberales; Zingiberaceae. The transcript has 6 exons. The record is from RefSeq and is a predicted model, not a curated record.